GUAGGUGAACCUGCGGAAGGAUCAUUAUUGAAAUAAACCUGAUGGGGUUGUUGCUGGCUCUCUAGGGAGCAUGUGCACACCUUGUCAUCUUUAUAUCUCCACCUGUGCACCUUUUGUAGACAUCUUUCCAGGUGUCUAUGUUGAUUCUUCAUUUACCCCAAUGUAUGUCAAUAGAAUGUUGUGUCUAUAAUAUAUACAACUUUCAGCAACGGAUCUCUUGGCUCUC
RNAcentral lists this unclassified non-coding RNA (226 nucleotides) under rhizosphere metagenome. RNAcentral describes it as "partial ribosomal RNA internal transcribed spacer region". The record is from RNAcentral.